This 2904-nucleotide ribosomal RNA is filed under the name Escherichia coli KTE210. RNAcentral describes it as "bacterial LSU rRNA". It matches the Rfam family "Bacterial large subunit ribosomal RNA". The record is from RNAcentral. Lineage: Bacteria; Pseudomonadati; Pseudomonadota; Gammaproteobacteria; Enterobacterales; Enterobacteriaceae.
UUAAGCGACUAAGCGUACACGGUGGAUGCCCUGGCAGUCAGAGGCGAUGAAGGACGUGCUAAUCUGCGAUAAGCGUCGGUAAGGUGAUAUGAACCGUUAUAACCGGCGAUUUCCGAAUGGGGAAACCCAGUGUGUUUCGACACACUAUCAUUAACUGAAUCCAUAGGUUAAUGAGGCGAACCGGGGGAACUGAAACAUCUAAGUACCCCGAGGAAAAGAAAUCAACCGAGAUUCCCCCAGUAGCGGCGAGCGAACGGGGAGCAGCCCAGAGCCUGAAUCAGUGUGUGUGUUAGUGGAAGCGUCUGGAAAGGCGCGCGAUACAGGGUGACAGCCCCGUACACAAAAAUGCACAUGCUGUGAGCUCGAUGAGUAGGGCGGGACACGUGGUAUCCUGUCUGAAUAUGGGGGGACCAUCCUCCAAGGCUAAAUACUCCUGACUGACCGAUAGUGAACCAGUACCGUGAGGGAAAGGCGAAAAGAACCCCGGCGAGGGGAGUGAAAAAGAACCUGAAACCGUGUACGUACAAGCAGUGGGAGCACAGAGCAAUCUGUGUGACUGCGUACCUUUUGUAUAAUGGGUCAGCGACUUAUAUUCUGUAGCAAGGUUAACCGAAUAGGGGAGCCGAAGGGAAACCGAGUCUUAACUGGGCGUUAAGUUGCAGGGUAUAGACCCGAAACCCGGUGAUCUAGCCAUGGGCAGGUUGAAGGUUGGGUAACACUAACUGGAGGACCGAACCGACUAAUGUUGAAAAAUUAGCGGAUGACUUGUGGCUGGGGGUGAAAGGCCAAUCAAACCGGGAGAUAGCUGGUUCUCCCCGAAAGCUAUUUAGGUAGCGCCUCGUGAAUUCAUCUCCGGGGGUAGAGCACUGUUUCGGCAAGGGGGUCAUCCCGACUUACCAACCCGAUGCAAACUGCGAAUACCGGAGAAUGUUAUCACGGGAGACACACGGCGGGUGCUAACGUCCGUCGUGAAGAGGGAAACAACCCAGACCGCCAGCUAAGGUCCCAAAGUCAUGGUUAAGUGGGAAACGAUGUGGGAAGGCCCAGACAGCCAGGAUGUUGGCUUAGAAGCAGCCAUCAUUUAAAGAAAGCGUAAUAGCUCACUGGUCGAGUCGGCCUGCGCGGAAGAUGUAACGGGGCUAAACCAUGCACCGAAGCUGCGGCAGCGACGCUGAUGCGUUGUUGGGUAGGGGAGCGUUCUGUAAGCCUGCGAAGGUGUGCUGUGAGGCAUGCUGGAGGUAUCAGAAGUGCGAAUGCUGACAUAAGUAACGAUAAAGCGGGUGAAAAGCCCGCUCGCCGGAAGACCAAGGGUUCCUGUCCAACGUUAAUCGGGGCAGGGUGAGUCGACCCCUAAGGCGAGGCCGAAAGGCGUAGUCGAUGGGAAACAGGUCAAUAUUCCUGUACUUGGUGUUACUGCGAAGGGGGGACGGAGAAGGCUAUGUUGGCCGGGCGACGGUUGUCCCGGUUUAAGCGUGUAGGCUGGUUUUCCAGGCAAAUCCGGAAAACUAAGGCUGAGGCGUGAUGACGAGGCACUACGGUGCUGAAGCAACAAAUGCCCUGCUUCCAGGAAAAGCCUCUAAGCAUCAGGUAACAUCAAAUCGUACCCCAAACCGACACAGGUGGUCAGGUAGAGAAUACCAAGGCGCUUGAGAGAACUCGGGUGAAGGAACUAGGCAAAAUGGUGCCGUAACUUCGGGAGAAGGCACGCUGAUAUGUAGGUGAAGUCCCUCGCGGAUGGAGCUGAAAUCAGUCGAAGAUACCAGCUGGCUGCAACUGUUUAUUAAAAACACAGCACUGUGCAAACACGAAAGUGGACGUAUACGGUGUGACGCCUGCCCGGUGCCGGAAGGUUAAUUGAUGGGGUCAGCGCAAGCGAAGCUCUUGAUCGAAGCCCCGGUAAACGGCGGCCGUAACUAUAACGGUCCUAAGGUAGCGAAAUUCCUUGUCGGGUAAGUUCCGACCUGCACGAAUGGCGUAAUGAUGGCCAGGCUGUCUCCACCCGAGACUCAGUGAAAUUGAACUCGCUGUGAAGAUGCAGUGUACCCGCGGCAAGACGGAAAGACCCCGUGAACCUUUACUAUAGCUUGACACUGAACAUUGAGCCUUGAUGUGUAGGAUAGGUGGGAGGCUUUGAAGUGUGGACGCCAGUCUGCAUGGAGCCGACCUUGAAAUACCACCCUUUAAUGUUUGAUGUUCUAACGUGGACCCGUGAUCCGGGUUGCGGACAGUGUCUGGUGGGUAGUUUGACUGGGGCGGUCUCCUCCUAAAGAGUAACGGAGGAGCACGAAGGUUGGCUAAUCCUGGUCGGACAUCAGGAGGUUAGUGCAAUGGCAUAAGCCAGCUUGACUGCGAGCGUGACGGCGCGAGCAGGUGCGAAAGCAGGUCAUAGUGAUCCGGUGGUUCUGAAUGGAAGGGCCAUCGCUCAACGGAUAAAAGGUACUCCGGGGAUAACAGGCUGAUACCGCCCAAGAGUUCAUAUCGACGGCGGUGUUUGGCACCUCGAUGUCGGCUCAUCACAUCCUGGGGCUGAAGUAGGUCCCAAGGGUAUGGCUGUUCGCCAUUUAAAGUGGUACGCGAGCUGGGUUUAGAACGUCGUGAGACAGUUCGGUCCCUAUCUGCCGUGGGCGCUGGAGAACUGAGGGGGGCUGCUCCUAGUACGAGAGGACCGGAGUGGACGCAUCACUGGUGUUCGGGUUGUCAUGCCAAUGGCACUGCCCGGUAGCUAAAUGCGGAAGAGAUAAGUGCUGAAAGCAUCUAAGCACGAAACUUGCCCCGAGAUGAGUUCUCCCUGACUCCUUGAGAGUCCUGAAGGAACGUUGAAGACGACGACGUUGAUAGGCCGGGUGUGUAAGCGCAGCGAUGCGUUGAGCUAACCGGUACUAAUGAACCGUGAGGCUUAACCUU